RNA transcript from Salvia miltiorrhiza (redroot sage), 3888 nucleotides. It is a transcript of the gene named nuclear intron maturase 2, mitochondrial, with no coding region annotated. The record is from RefSeq and is a predicted model, not a curated record. The transcript has 6 exons. NCBI's taxonomy places the organism in Eukaryota, Viridiplantae, Streptophyta, Magnoliopsida, Lamiales, Lamiaceae.
CUAAAUUGUAAGCAGCAACUCGAAGAACUCUGCCAGCCCCCGCCGCUGAACUACAGCCCUACCCAGUCUUCUCUAUCUCUCAUCUCUCGUCGCCCGUCGGCGACGCCGUCCGCGGCCGUCCUCCGUCCGCCGCCGCAAGUACCCGGUGCCGCUGCCCUCCUACGCGACGUUCGCUGCCCUCCGCAAAUCGCCAGACUCCGCCGCUCCUCCACGAGCUGCUGCGCCGCUUCUCUUUCAGACCGCCGUCCGUCCGCCGCCCGCAACUCACGCACACGCUGGCAGAGGGGAUAGGGGAAUCAUUGCCACUGUUCAUGGCUGCACAAUGAGAAACAAUGCUGAUUGUUUGUUGGAUGCUUCAAUCUUUUCAAUUGAACGAUGCAGCUUUGUGUUGUAACCUUAAUAUUUUAUUCACCUUUGAGCGAAUCCAUUGGUUCGAUAAUACUUGGCUUUCUCUCUUGAGCUGGAAUGGUAUUCUAGUUGAUUGAAAGUCAUUUAGGAUUAGUGAAUGCAUUUUGAUCACCAUGUGGAAAAUUUUGGACAUUCUUGCUGUCAAAUAAUUGCAACUCCAGUGGCAGCGGACUUCGAAAAGAAUGUCUUCUUCACAAACUCUGGAAUAUGAAGCUGAAGAUGCAGUCUCAUAGUAUUCCAGCAAGGACUCGACGUUGAACCACCAACACCACGCCUCCCACGAACAGCAACAUUUCCUAGGCAGCCGCCGCUACCCUGCUACCUUCUACCGACUUUGCCCAAACCUACAACAGCCCCAGUCCCUUGCUCCCACUUGGCUCACAACAGCAACACACUAAACCAAGUCCCGGCUCGAUUGCAGCCACAACUCAACAUCUAGUAAAUCUAUCAGUGAGGUGAUACAACAUUUAAAUGCAUCGAACUGUGGUAUUGUGGAGCCGUGGAGCAAUCAGAAACAGAGCUGUGAUUUUCCUGCACAAUUCAACACUUAUCAACACUCAAUUGAAUAAUGAUGUGCAUUCCAGAAAUGAUAACGCGGGUUUUCUCUUUAGAGCAUUUACAUACAGCAGUUACACAUUCACGAGGCGGCCGCCUGAUCCGAACGACCCGGCCACCUUGAUGAAGGAGGACGGCGUGGCGGUUUGUUCCCAAAUGUGGACUGAGAAUUUCAGGGAGCCUGAUAAGAGUGUCACUAAUUUGACAAAUUAUUUGAGAAGGUUCGAGUUGUGGGUGUUGGCUUACCAGAAGGUGUGUGCUGAUGCGACUGGGUCAUACAUGCCCCGCAGCUCCAUCACGCGUUCCGCGCUCGAGGACUUGCUAGCGCUGCGCAAUGCAGUCCUUGAUUGCAGGUUUAAGUGGGGGGCUAGGUUAGACUUCUUUAUCAGAUCCCCCAAUGACAAGACUGAUUAUGAGUCCUUGUCGAAGAGGAAGAUUAGGGCAAUCUUGACUACCACACAGCCUUCCCCUUUCCAGGAUAGGAUUGUGCAGGAGGUGCUUUUGAUGGUCUUGGAGCCAAUUUACGAGGCGAGGUUUUCGCAAAAGUCGUAUGCGUUUAGGCCUGGGAGGAAUGCCCACACGGUGCUGAGGGUGAUCAGAAGGAGUUUUGCAGGUUACUUGUGGUAUAUAAAAGGAGAUUUGAGUACAGUGCUAGAUGGUAUGAAGGUUGGAAUGGUGAUCAAUGCUGUGAUGAGGGAUGUUAGGGAUAAGAAGGUGAUUGAUUUGAUAAAGGCUGCAUUGACCACACCAGUUGUCACGAGUAGGGUUGAUGAUGGGGACAAGAAAAAGAAGAAGAAACGCAAGUAUCAGAAGAAGAGGGUUUUGGCAGAGGACGAGCCGAAGCCUGAUCCGUAUUGGUUGGAGACAUUUUUCGGGUUUGCACCAGAGGAGGCUGAGGUGCAUCCUUCUUGGGGUCAUUGUGGAAUCCUUAGUCCUCUUUUGGCUAACAUAUGCCUCGAUGAACUGGACCGCUGGAUGGAAGGCAAGAUUAAGGAGUUCUAUAGGCCGUCUGCGAGUGACGUCAUAUGGAACAAUCCUGAUGGGGAGGCGGAGCAAGGGACUACAUCGUGGCCGGAAUUUGUUCCUACAGCUGGUCCUGAUAAGACUAGGAAGAUUGAUUACAUACGUUAUGGUGGUCACGUCUUGAUUGGAGUUAGAGGACCAAGGGCAGAUGCAGCAACUCUAAGAAAGCAGUUGAUACAGUUCUGUGACGAGAAGUAUAUGCUAAAACUGGAUAACGAGUGCCUCCCCAUUGAGCAUAUAACUAAAGGUAUUAUGUUUCUUGACCAUGUGUUAUGCCGUAGAGUUGUGUAUCCUACUCUUCGAUAUACAGCUACUGGUGGGAAAAUUAUUAGUGAAAAGGGUGUGGGAACAUUGUUGUCAGUUACGGCUAGUUUGAAGCAGUGCAUUAAGCAAUUUAGGAAGUUGAGUUUUCUCAAGGGAGAUAGAGACCCGGAUCCACAGCCCUGUUUUAGAAUGUUUCAUGCUACACAGGCUCACACGAAUGCUCAGAUGAACAAGUUUUUGUCAACAAUGGUUGAGUGGUACAGAUAUGCGGAUAACAGGAAGAAAAUAGUCAACUUUUGUUCGUACAUCCUUAGAGGCUCACUAGCAAAGCUCUAUGCUGCAAAAUACAAGCUGAGGUCAAGAGCUAAGGUUUACAAGAUUGGGGCUAGGAAUUUGAGCCGCCCUCUAAAGGAAAAGAAAGGGCAAUCGCCCGAGUUCCAUAAUUUGUUGAGGAUGGGUCUUGUAGAGUCAAUUGAUGGGCUUCAGUAUACCCGAAUGUCUCUAGUACCUGAAACGGACUAUUCCCCGUUGCCACUAGGUUGGAGACCAGAUCAUGAGAAAGCAUUGCUUGAAUAUAUAAGGCUUGAGGACUCAAGGACUCUGGAGGAGCAACGAGACUGCCUUAAAGAAUGUGGCCUGGUUUCACCUCAGGAUUACAUUUCAAUGCUUGUAUGGAACUACAAAAGGAAUGCCAUUUCAGUAAAUCAUGUUUCUUAUACGCUAAGUAGCAAGAAUGGAAUAAAAACCGAAUCUGGUUUGUUGAGCUCAAAUGAUGAAAGCAUUGAGGACGACGAGGAAGGAGGUAUUAGUGCAGCACAAAUAGCCUAACUUAUCUAGCAUAUUUUUCCUUUGGAAUUUGGAAGCACUUCUGUCUUCAUUAGCUCAUUUCCUGUGACAAAUGUGUGUUUACUGAGUUCUGUAUAAAUUCUCUCAAGUGACUUCCAACGCCUUGGACAUGAAGCUCAGGGACGAUCUUGAACCUUUGAAGAAGAUCAGGAACCACCAUGGUCUCCGUCACUAUUGGGGCCUUCAUGUGUGUGGUCAGCACGCAGGGGAAAGACUGUUGGUGUCUCAAAGACUUGGAUACUGCUUCAAUUUUGUCAGCUCAAUUUGGUUAGGGACGAUUGAGUCAAUAGAAUUUGUGAUUUUGUUUACCAAUAUUUGUUAGCUCAUUUCUCUGUUGCAUCUUUCCAUAAUUUCUCUGUUUCUGAGGCUUUUGUUUUAUCUGCUAUUGGUUCUUGAUUGACAAUUUUCACGUUUCAGAUUGCUGCCCAUUCUCUCACUAGAAUACCAUUGGCACAUGAAAGGAAUCAACACGAACAAGAUAUAUCACAGGAAUGUAUGAGGCAGAUGGGAAGACCAUUGCAGGAUGUCAUUUCAGAAUGGAUAAGACCAUUGGGGCUUAAAAGCACUUGUUAGGAGCAUAUAUUCUGCCUUCAAUAAACUUGGAUGAUUGAUAUUUGUUUUCUGUUAUUCAAAAAUCUUGUGUACCUAUACAAGUAUUUAGUAACAUCGUCUAUAGUAUAUCCAUAUGUAAGUAAAUAUGUCUACACACGCAUGGAUGUGCAUUCCACUCGAGGGGCCUGUUUUGGAUGAAUUGGAACUUUUUGAAUUUCCAAAGGUCCAUGGUUAUUUCAA